AGCUCAAAUUUGAAAGCUGGUACCUUCGGUGCCCGCGUUGUAAUCUCGAGACGCGUUUUCCGCGCGGCUCUAUGGACAAGUUCCUUGGAACAGGACAUCGUAGAGGGUGAAAAUCCCGUACUUGCCAUGGAUGCACCGUGCUUUGUGAUACGUGCUCAAAGAGUCGAGUUGUUUGGGAUUGCAGCUCAAAAUGGGUGGUAGACUCCAUCUAAAGCUAAAUAUCGGGGAGAGACCGAUAGCGAACAAGUACCGUGAGGGAAAGAUGAAAAGCACUUUGGAAAGAGAGUUAAAAGUACGUGAAAUUGUCGAAAGGGAAGCGCUUGAAGUCAGCCAUGCCGCUCAAGACUCAGCCUGGCUUUUGCUUGGUGUAUUUCCUGGGUAGCAAGUCAGCAUUGGUUUGGACCGUCGGAAAAGCAUGGCAGGAAUGUGACGCCCUCGGGCGUGUUAUAGCCUGCCAUUGGAUACGCCGGUCUAGACCAAGGAACGCAGUGCGCCUUACGGCGGGUCUUCGGACACCUUCGCGC
Molecule: ribosomal RNA, 524 nt
Filed under: Malassezia japonica
Lineage: Eukaryota; Fungi; Basidiomycota; Malasseziomycetes; Malasseziales; Malasseziaceae
Description: partial large subunit ribosomal RNA
Rfam family: Eukaryotic large subunit ribosomal RNA
Source: RNAcentral